AGAAAUGUGGAUUAACAAUGUCGACAUUUAUCAAGAACAUGGUUUUUCAUUUCAGAAUUGUUCAACCAAUAAAGGUGACUUUUUGGGGAGAGAAUGUGUUAAGAAUGUCGACAUUUUUUCCUCAUUUUUUUGGGUAGUCAUAUGGAAUUGAAAAAACUCGUGAUUUUUGCUUCGAAAAACCAAAGAACCCAAGAUUUCUAGAUGCGAUGAACACUACAAGUUUUAUUUCGCCACAUAAUCAAAUCCCACUAUAAAAACAGGGAAGCUGAAAUUUUAGUGAAGAUGCUGAAAAUGGCCUUAGGAAUCAGGUCUUUCUGUUGUUGAAUCACACUGUCAGAACAUUCUUGAAGCUGAUAUUGCUCUCUUUGCUUCUCCUAAGCAAUUACUCUGUGUUUGAAUGCAAUGAUGAGAAGUUGAGUGACUUGCACAAGGCAAUGUCGCUGACAGCUUUAAAAAUCCACCCACAUUUUUAAGGCAAGCUCUUCUUUCCUCUUCUUCCCAUUAUCAGAUGUACAGUUGCUUGUGUCUUGUUGAAUCCCGCUUCCACUGUCGAGCAUGUAAAGUCUGCAUGAUUGCCUUGGUAAUUGGUUAUUCUGGUUUUCUGUAUAUUUGCAUCCUGUCUAGGCUUUUGUGAUUCUUUAUAGGCACCUGUUAAGGCUGUAAUGCUAGUACUUCAAAACACCUCUAAAUUUUUCCUCUGCCAAUGUUUGCCUUUGGAAUUUUCAGUUAUGGGUAUCAUUCGUAACCCAGGAAUGCUCAUUUUUUCCCCUCGUCUUAAAAUUCUCUGAAAAGCUGACUUUACUUCAUGUGUAUCCCUAUUCUUGCAUUAGCUGAUCUGUCUGGUCAUUUUGGUGAAUGUUUAUUUGUUAUUGAAACUUUUAACUAUUCUUCUCAUCUCACAUGUGUCGUCUUGAGAGUUCUUUCCUCACCCAGUAUUAGCUCUCUGAAGCAGAUGUUGAAGGAAAAUUGUAAUCGAGAUGGCUUAAAAUAAAUACAUGGUUUGUUUUAGGGACAGAGGGAGUGAAUUAUACAAGGUAUGAAGUAUGUAGUAAUUGUUGUCAUGAUUUUUGAACAAGGGAUGUGAAUUUUUUUUUAUAGAAGGAUAGAAACAAUACAAUAUCUAUAGUUAUAUGAUUCAAAUUUGUGUGAUGCAUAAUAUUGGACUGUAAAAGGAAAUAUAACUGAAGCCAUAUACUGUACAUUUUCCUCCCUUUUGUGUAUAUGAUGAAAGUGAAUUGUAUAGACUUCUGCCUCUGAAUAUGUUUAAUUUUUCUAACAGAAAGUGUCAUUACAAAAUGUUUGAACAAUUUAUUCUGACCCUUUAAGAGCUGUGUGGUUACAGGUUGGUCAUCAGGCUGAAUUCAAAGACAGCCAGUUGUCACGGGUCAUCUCCCACACCAAGGAGGGACGUCAAGAGGGUCACUAGGCAGCAAGGCAACAAUCGGGGCUAGGGGGCUUGCCUUGGUGCUCAGCUAAGCACUUCCCCCUAAAGAGCUUUAUUUAGCACCUUGCUUAAAAUACUAGUGAACACCCACUUGACAGUAACACAAUAAUGGGCCAUUUGGACGAGCAAGUGGGCUCUAAAUGGGCUCAAAUUUGGGGGUCCACCGUAUUUUGGGCCAAGGAAGACGAUGGUGGUGUCGGUUUUCCGAGACGAGGUCCCGAAAUACAAGUUUGUGCAGCAGGUAGCCCGGAAAACGCGAGAAGCUUCUAGAAGGUUCCGGAGCUAUCUACGGGGUUCUUUUGGAGGAGUAUUCUAGAAGGGAUGUCUCUAGAAUAUUCAAGGUUCAUCUAGUGCAUCUUAGAAGUCUCUAGGGUCUUCUAUGUAUGUACAUUUUGUAUGUAAAGUUCUAGAAUGUUCUAGGUUAGUCCUUAGCAUUCUAGGAAGGAAGCUUGUAGAAAACCUCCAUGUAUGUAUUUCCUAAGGAGGUGGGAACACUCUAGAUCCUUGUAGUCUAGAACCCUCCAUUUGAGGAGGUUAGGAACGUUCUAGAUAUAGGUUGUAAGUAGGGAGGAGCACUAUAAAUAGGCUCCAAGGCAUCAUUUGUACAUUUAAGUUGAGAGCAAUACAAAAAGUCUUUCUUAAGCACUUGUGUUCUCUUGCAACUCAAUCCUUUCCUUCCAACACUUAGAGAGUGUGAGGAAAACUAAGGCACGAGGGUGCCAAGUGAGUGAUCGGGCAUACCAGCAAGGGUGAUAGCUUGGGUGCUCAAUUGUCUACGACACUUAGUCGUAAAUUCGGACUAAGGCACUAAGGGUGAGUGCUUAGUUCAACCAAAGGGGACUUGUUAGCACAAAGGGAUCGUGCUAGCAAACUUAUACUAGCAGCACAAGGAGUUGUGCUACGUGGGCACAAGGAGUUAGUGCCAAGGGACAAAGCCUAACUCGUCUUACGACGGACUGUAAGCUGGUGGCGCACGGUGCGUGACUAGGGCAAAGUAGUCGGCACGUGACACAGUGCUUCGUUUUGGAGAGGGAUGGUGAAACUUUGGAAGACUUCUCGUAUAAGAAAUGCGUGUUUGGUGCACUGAAGCUUAUGGCUCCUUGGAGGGCAAAACUCUGUCAAACCUGAUGGUCCAACAAUGGUUGUCUGAUGUUUGAACAGAUGGUGUUCUUUCACCCUUCUUCCCCCAAAAGGAUCGGAAAAAAGAUAAUGAAGGAAAAAAAAAACCUAUUUCUGUGGUUUUCUGGAAUAUUUGAGUUUUCAGACCUGAAUGACACAGCAAGGUAUCUGAGCAACAAUUUAAGCUUUUAGAACUAUAUAUAUUGUACUAGUACAAUUUUUUUGCCGAAUUGAACUGUGAUGCAGCAGACCACCUGUUGCGUUAUGUUGUGUUUGUGAAAUAUGAUAGGGUUAGUCCUUCCUCUAUGCUUCUUUUUUGCAGCUUCAUCUUCAUCUAUUUUGCUGCGAUUUUGUAAAGGCAAAAAAGAUCUUAGUGGAAGCAGCAAAGAGAAGCUGGGAAAGCUUAUAUUAUAGUUUCUGACUUUCUUCAUGUAAUCUGUAAAACUGUAUUUCGCAGUGCAAACAUUUUCCUUUCAUCCAUUUCAAUUCUUUGUUACUUCAUAUUCAUAUUUUAACUUAACUA
Molecule: long non-coding RNA, 3086 nt
Organism: Chenopodium quinoa (quinoa)
Lineage: Eukaryota; Viridiplantae; Streptophyta; Magnoliopsida; Caryophyllales; Amaranthaceae
Exons: 3
Source: RefSeq, a predicted model, not a curated record